UUAAUGGCUCUGUCUUCUGCAUUCAGGAGUUCACCUCAGUUUGAUUUUACUAUUUCUUCUAUGAUCACAUAUGGGUUUGUUGACUUGCCCUGUCCUUCAGAGGCAACUAGAAUUGCCAAGUUGUCUCUACAGAUGCUACAUAUUCCAGAUCAAUGUUUUACCUCUUUGGGUGAGCCUGGACUUCCCUCACUCUGGAACAUCAGUCCUUCUCCCUUGAGACCUGCUAACCUUGGUACAUCACUCUACCAUGCUGGCCCCUUUCAGCCAUUGGUGAACUCUUUUGAGGUCCCUAUUUGGGAAAGGGGCCCGGGCUGUGUAACCUCUAUUCACCUUCUGCCUCUAUUUCUGACUUCCCAGCUUACUAUCUCACCCUCAAACUUUCCCCUUCCCCUUUGACCUUCAAUGGCGGGGGCCUCCUCAUGCUGGAACGUCCAUCGACGCUGGAUCAUCAGUCCACCAUGCUGGUCUCCUUCUGCCUUUUCUGAGAUCCUCCAAAAUUCUCCACUUCAGGGACGGUCCCGGGUCACAUAACGUUGAUUCUACUUCCAGCACCGUUUCUGAACUGGAUGUCGGUCUAAUACCUCAGCUGUAGUCUCAGCCAUGAACCUUUUUCAGUGCAUAAGGAUUCUCCAUGCUGGAACAUCCACCCUCUCUGGUAGCCUUCUCAUCCUGGAACAUCAUUCCAUCAUGCUAGCCGCCUUCUGCCACUUCUGUGAUUCUCCAGGUCUCCAUUUCAAGCAUGGGCCCAGCUCCCAUCACCUUGAUUCCAAUUCCUGCACUGUUCCUGAAUUUCCAGACAUCGAUCCAAUGCCUCAGCCACAGUCUCACCCUUGAUCCUCUUCCAACUGUCGGGAUCCCCUCAUGUUGGUUCAUCCAUCCAAUAUGUGGUGUUCUCACCCUGGAACGUCACUCCAUUGUGCUGUCCUCCUGCUUCAAAGUUCUCCAUUUUAGGAUGGGCUAGCUUCCAUCACCUUGAUUCCAAUUCUGGCAGGUUUCUGAAUUUCCAGAUAUCAAUCCAAUGCCUCCACUUUAGUCUCAUCCAAGAACCUUUUUCAGUAUAUCAGGAUUCUACACACUGGAACAUCCGUCAACUUCAGUGGCCUUCUCUCACUGUGGAACAUCACUCUACCGUGCUAGCCUCUUUCUGCCACUUCUAUGGUCCUCCAGAGGUCUCCAUUUCAAGUAUGGGCCCACGUCCCAUUACCUCGAUUCCGAUUCCAGCAGAGUUUCUGAAUUUCCAGACGUCGAU
Molecule: long non-coding RNA, 1249 nt
Filed under: Sarcophilus harrisii (Tasmanian devil)
Lineage: Eukaryota; Metazoa; Chordata; Mammalia; Dasyuromorphia; Dasyuridae
Description: lncRNA (ENSSHAG00000021610.1)
Source: RNAcentral